AUGUCAGGGUUAUCCCAGAUUGUACACCCAUACUUGGGUGCAUGGGCCAUGUACGUGGCCUACGUGCCGGGCCAGUGUCACGGUGUGCUGCUAGGAGAACCCCGGGUUGUACGUGUAUUCUUGGGUGCAUGGCCAUGCCCGUGGCUGGGUUGGUCGUGUUGUGCUUGUUCUCUUACUCUCGUGUGUUUGGUCGUCUAUUUUGUUUUUGUUUUUUUCCUUCCUAUGUGCCUGUUUGGUUCAUCGGUUGUACUAUUUGCAGGAGGCUUGGUUUUGCCUGCUUACGAUACGAGGCUCUUGGUGCGUCAGGCGUUUUUCAUGGCUCCUCUUUCAAAAGAUGUUGCUAUACUCAAGACUGUUUUGUAG
RNAcentral lists this ribosomal RNA (363 nucleotides) under Triticum aestivum (bread wheat). RNAcentral describes it as "partial small subunit ribosomal RNA". Lineage: Eukaryota; Viridiplantae; Streptophyta; Magnoliopsida; Poales; Poaceae. The record is from RNAcentral.